RNAcentral lists this ribosomal RNA (628 nucleotides) under Serratia sp. SC02-1. RNAcentral's name for it is "bacterial SSU rRNA". It matches the Rfam family "Bacterial small subunit ribosomal RNA", at positions 903 to 1533 of the family's 1533-position model. Lineage: Bacteria; Pseudomonadati; Pseudomonadota; Gammaproteobacteria; Enterobacterales; Yersiniaceae. The record is from RNAcentral.
AAAGGAAUUGACGGGGGCCCGCACAAGCGGUGGAGCAUGUGGUUUAAUUCGAUGCAACGCGAAGAACCUUACCUACUCUUGACAUCCAGAGAAUUCGCUAGAGAUAGCUUAGUGCCUUCGGGAACUCUGAGACAGGUGCUGCAUGGCUGUCGUCAGCUCGUGUUGUGAAAUGUUGGGUUAAGUCCCGCAACGAGCGCAACCCUUAUCCUUUGUUGCCAGCGCGUAAUGGYGGGAACUCAAAGGAGACUGCCGGUGAUAAACCGGAGGAAGGUGGGGAUGACGUCAAGUCAUCAUGGCCCUUACGAGUAGGGCUACACACGUGCUACAAUGGCGUAUACAAAGAGAAGCGAACUCGCGAGAGCAAGCGGACCUCAUAAAGUACGUCGUAGUCCGGAUCGGAGUCUGCAACUCGACUCCGUGAAGUCGGAAUCGCUAGUAAUCGUAGAUCAGAAUGCUACGGUGAAUACGUUCCCGGGCCUUGUACACACCGCCCGUCACACCAUGGGAGUGGGUUGCAAAAGAAGUAGGUAGCUUAACCUUCGGGAGGGCGCUUACCACUUUGUGAUUCAUGACUGGGGUGAAGUCGUAACAAGGUAACCGUAGGGGAACCUGCGGCUGGAUCMACCUC